CGAAGGUGGCGAGCGUUGUUCGGAAUCACUGGGCAUAAAGCGCACGUAGGCGGUGGCGUAAGUCGGGUGUGAAAUCCCUCGGCCUAACCGAGGAACUGCGCCCGAUACUGCGCUGCUUGAGGACCAGAGGGGUGCAUGGAAUUUCCGGUGGAGCGGUGAAAUGCGUUGAUAUCGGAAGGAACUCCGGCGGCGAAAGCGAUGCACUGGCUGGUUUCUGACGCUGAGGUGCGAAAGCCAGGGGAGCAAACGGGAUUAGAUACCCCGGUAGUCCUGGCCGUAAACGAUGGGUACUAGGUAGGGGGAUUUCAAACGUCUCUCUGCUGGAGCAAAUGUAUUAAGUACCCCGCCUGGGAAGUACAGUCGCAAGGCUG
Molecule: ribosomal RNA, 371 nt
Filed under: uncultured organism
Description: bacterial SSU rRNA
Rfam family: Bacterial small subunit ribosomal RNA
Source: RNAcentral